RNAcentral lists this ribosomal RNA (468 nucleotides) under uncultured bacterium. RNAcentral describes it as "partial 16S ribosomal RNA". It matches the Rfam family "Bacterial small subunit ribosomal RNA", at positions 28 to 507 of the family's 1533-position model. The record is from RNAcentral.
GACGAACGCUGGCGGCGUGCUUAACACAUGCAAGUCGAACGGAAAGGCCCUGCUUUUGUGGGGUGCUCGAGUGGCGAACGGGUGAGUAACACGUGAGUAACCUGCCCUUGACUUUGGGAUAACUUCAGGAAACUGGGGCUAAUACCGGAUAGGAGCUCCUGCUGCAUGGUGGGGGUUGGAAAGUUUCGGCGGUUGGGGAUGGACUCGCGGCUUAUCAGCUUGUUGGUGGGGUAGUGGCUUACCAAGGCUUUGACGGGUAGCCGGCCUGAGAGGGUGACCGGCCACAUUGGGACUGAGAUACGGCCCAGACUCCUACGGAAGGCAGCAGUGGGGAAUAUUGCACAAUGGGCGGAAGCCUGAUGCAGCAACGCAGCGUGCGGGAUGACGGCCUUCGGGUUGUAAACCGCUUUCGCCUGUGACGAAGCGUGAGUGACGGUAAUGGGUAAAGAAGCACCGGCUAACUACGUG